Molecule: ribosomal RNA, 229 nt
Filed under: uncultured bacterium
Lineage: Bacteria
Description: partial 16S ribosomal RNA
Rfam family: Bacterial small subunit ribosomal RNA
Source: RNAcentral
CAUGUAGGCGGUUAAAUAAGUCUGAUGUGAAAGCAUACAGCUCAACUGUAUUGUUGCGUUGGAAACUGUUUGACUUGAAUCCGAGAGGGGUGUGUGGAAUUCCUAGUGUAGGGGUGAAAUCUGUUGAUAUUAGGAAGAACACCAGAGGCGAAGGCGACACACUGGCUCUGGAUUGACGCUGAGGUGCGAAAGCGUAGGUAGCGAACAGGAUUAGAUACCCUGGUAGUCC